Molecule: ribosomal RNA, 470 nt
Filed under: Salmonella enterica subsp. enterica serovar Kentucky
Lineage: Bacteria; Pseudomonadati; Pseudomonadota; Gammaproteobacteria; Enterobacterales; Enterobacteriaceae
Description: bacterial SSU rRNA
Rfam family: Bacterial small subunit ribosomal RNA
Source: RNAcentral
AAAUUGAAGAGUUUGAUCAUGGCUCAGAUUGAACGCUGGCGGCAGGCCUAACACAUGCAAGUCGAACGGUAACAGGAAGCAGCUUGCUGCUUCACUGACGAGUGGCGGACGGGUGAGUAAUGUCUGGGAAACUGCCUGAUGGAGGGGGAUAACUACUGGAAACGGUGGCUAAUACCGCAUAACGUCGCAAGACCAAAGAGGGGGACCUUCGGGCCUCUUGCCAUCAGAUGUGCCCAGAUGGGAUUAGCUGGUUGGUGAGGUAACGGCUCACCAAGGCGACGAUCCCUAGCUGGUCUGAGAGGAUGACCAGCCACACUGGAACUGAGACACGGUCCAGACUCCUACGGGAGGCAGCAGUGGGGAAUAUUGCACAAUGGGCGCAAGCCUGAUGCAGCCAUGCCGCGUGUAUGAAGAAGGCCUUCGGGUUGUAAAGUACUUUCAGCGGGGAGGAAGGUGUUGUGGUUAAUAAC